CACCUGUGUAUGUUUAACAGCUGUAAGCUAUGUAUAUAUUGAAACGCUGGUUAUAAUAAACUCAGAGUGGCCAUCAGCUCUCUCCGCCUCUAUCCUGAUGUGUACAUUGGAUUGCGACACCGACAUAUGGUGACCCCAACGUGAUCCAAGAUCGGCGGCAUUAUUGGGUCCCCGCGGAUGGAAGCUUUCCCCCCAUCAGCGGUUCUCCACUGAAUCAGCAGCAGGAGUCCUGGAUGAUCCCCUGGUCGCACGGCCCCUCCCCUGCUCCUUCCCGACCCGCGCCGCAGCCAUCGCAGACUCUAGGGGAGGGAGCGAUGUUCUCUCCUACCGUUCCAGCACCUCCGAGGCCAUCUGCAAGGUUUAUGAUCUCCGCCUUCUUGGUACUGUAGGUCUCUAAUGAGCUGCCAUUAUGUUUAUUCUCUGAAAUUCAGUUCUUCCAAUCUUUUGUUGUAUUUUGGAGGGGAGAGAAUCCCGGGUCAGCUCACCCCGCCAUUUUGCUCCGCCCCUAUUUCCUCUGACCUCCCAAUUUUUAAAUAGCUUUGAUCCAGAAAUUCCCUUAUGCUUUUAUGUGAUAAACACACCUAAGAGUCCUACUGUUAUCAUCUUUCAAAAAGCGGGCAAGGUUAUAAAAUGCUUGGAGUGGAUAUACUUGCCCCAGACACAAGCUAAGGUACUCUAUACAUAUUUUGAUGGAAUAGCAGAGGUUAUUCAAAGGGGAUGUUUGUGGUGUUUACAAUUGCAAGGCGCUGACCCUCAGACCAUUUUUUUACCUUGCACAUCUUCUCAAUUUGAUCAUCUCCUCGGUUAUCUCUUCCCAACCUAUUCCUGAUGCCUUAACCGUGUUCACUGACGGCUCCGGAAAAACCGGAAAAGCCAGUAUAGCUUGGCUUGCUAAUAAUGACCGGCAGACCAAAGUCUCUCACGGACAUUCAACUACUCAAAUUGCAGAAUUGGCAGCUGUGCACAUUUCUUUCUGAUAUCGCUUCUAUUGACACUCACUCUCAAUUUCUUUUCACAUCGGCACAUACAAAAAACAGCGCUAAACAAGUCAUUCAUCAUUAGCUUGCUACAUUUGCUUUCGUGGGGUCUCCUACAUGCAUUAAAACUGAUAAUGGUCCCGAGUUCUCAGCGCAAAUUUUCUGCCAAUUUUGUGCAAAUUGGAAUAUUAUCCAUAAAACUGGCAUCCCCUAUAAUUCUAUGGGACAAGCUAUUAUUGAGAGAUGUCAUAGAACACUGAAGACUGCUUUACAAAAAAUGAAAGGGGGAAAUGAGUAUUAUAAGAAUGAUCCACAAGGUAUCCUCAAUCACGCCUUAUUUACUUUAAAUUUUUUCAAUCUAGCGGAGGACGGCACAUCAGCUGCAGAAAGAUAUAUGGGUCAAACUCAGAACCAUAUGGCCCAACAAAGGCCGCAUUACACACAUCUGUUUUGACACAAUAUCUUGGCAAAAUGUGGAUUAAAACGUCCUUAUACGGAUAUCUGGGAGGGGCCUUUUAUGGUUAAAUGUGGGAAGAGAGGAGCUCUUUGUGUUUUGACAGAUAAAGGCAUUGAGUGCAUUCCAUCAAAACGCACACGGCCUGCUCUGGAAUAACCGGAAAAUGGACAAACAGAUAAGUAAAUCAGUUUUUUUCUUUUUCCUCUUUUCUUGUCUAAUGCAUGUUGAGGUGAUUUCAGAGCAUGCGAAUCUCACAUAUUGGGCCUUUAUUCCUAAUCCUCCUCUCUCUACUCUGGUUACUUGGUGGCUUGCCAAUCCCCCUUUGUCCUCUACUGAUGCUGAUUGGACAGGAGGAACUGGGGUACCCCGACAACAACAUACAGCCCUGCACCUAAAGGAAGAAGAACCUCUGGUGAUGUAUGCUAACAAUUCACCUUUUUGUAUGGUUUAUUAAAACAAAAGCACAACAUGUGUCGCCUUUCAGGAACAAAUGUAUUUUAUUACCAACCUAAGAAAGAACAACAGGCAGCCAAUGUGACAUACAUCACUGCUAUAUCAACAUCUUACGAAGACAGAAGUAAUGUCACACAAGUUCCUUCCAUCCCAAUUUGCCAUCCAAAAACUGAUUGGUGUUACAAACAUUACUCAGUACAGUGAUCCCCUUGCCGUACAGCAUAUCCAAGCCCGGGCAACACCUUUGGGGCCAACGUGCUGGAUUAGGGACCUCAUGGACAUCUUUUAAGUGACAAUCAUACUUGGGCCUUCAACAGAUCAAGUCAGAAACCUAUAACAUGGAGCGAACACAGCCCAUCUGGACCCCUUUCACAACUAUUGUACAAUGAGACAGUGUACAGCCCCCUCACAAAGGAAUAUGGAGGAUCGGGUUGCCUUUUAUAUGACAACGAUUGUCCCAUGGUAAAUAUGAGAAUGCAAGUGGCGAUUAUUCAUUGACUCUGAUUCAAAAUGUUUCUGAUACCAUUAUGAUCUGUACCACCCAUCCUUAUGUGUUAUGGGGAAAAAAUGUCCCCACUAUUGAAGAAUCUUCUAGUAUGGAUGUAAUUAAUAUUUCUCCCCCAUAUUGGUAUUCUGAUUGUUUAACGCAUUGUAAUGUAACCUCAUUGAAUGUGACCUAUGUAAUGGUGUUAAAAGAAGAGCACAUAUUUGGUUACCUGUUUCUCUAAAUCAGACAUGGUCCGAAGAGCAUGCUCUACAUAUCCUCCUUGAGUCCAUGAGAAAAUUAUGCCCUAAGCAGUUUUUGGCUACACUAAUCGCGUUCAUUGUGUCCGCGGUGAUUAUCAUUGCAUCAGCUGCUACAGUUACUACUGCCUUCGUUAACAGUGUUCAAACAGCCCAUAAGGUGGAGUCCAUCUUGGUAAAUGUCACUCAAGAAUUACGGACACAGGCAGAUAUUGAUAAAGGGCUAAUGUCAGGAUUGCAGGCAUUAGAGGCAGCAGUAGAGUGGCUGGGAGAGCAGCAAAAUGCAUUCUAUAUGCAUAUGAAACUAAAAUGUGACUGGCAAUUUACCAUGCAAUGCGUUACCCCCCCUACUGUAUAAUAGCUCGCUGACAUCUUGGCAAGAAAUAAAAAAACAUUUACAGGGGGCAUUUAAUACCUCCCUGGCCAAUGACAUCACUCUGCUACAAGCUCAGUUAGAGAGGCAGUUACAAGAAGUACAUAAGGUGUUCUCUCAAAAAAUAUUUCAAGACAUUGAAAAUGGGUUACACUGGCUAGAGCCCUCCAAUUGGUUCUCGGGCCUCAAUUUACACAUAUUUGUUAAUACUGGUGUGAUUUUGAUAUUAUCCAUGUUAAUAGUUUAUGUUUUACGUCUGCUGUGCUCCCUGAAAAAACAACAAAGUCAACAAGAGCAAGCAUUGGUUAUGAUGGGCCUUCUGGCCUCAGCACAACAUGACACCUUCCCUGCUUUAAAAAACAAAAAAUGGGGAAAUGUAGCCACCCCUGACACAGGAAGGGUUAAUAAUCACUGGAAAAAGCUUGUCAACAAACUGUGACCUGGAGGUGAGAAGGCCGGUUAGCCAAUGACGGGUAAGACCCCCAGGGUGGGGGGGUGGCAACCUAAGCCAGGCAGCGGCUGCCCGGGGACACAGAUGGAGAAACGAUAUCUAUAUCGGGAGCAGGAGGGACCAUUGCCUAAGAGACCUUGCCUGCUCCAAGAUAAAAAUAUAGGAGCACAGCAAUAACAUGAUAAUAUCAAAACAGAGGCCAAGGGAGGGCUCCUUGAGAAAUCACUAAGAAUUCUUGGCAUUUGCUAAUUAAUUCAUCCAGAACACCUGUGUAUGUUUAACAGCUGUAAGCUAUGUAUAUAUUGAAACGCUGGUUAUAAUAAACUCAGAGUGGCCAUCAGUGCUCUCUGCAUCUAUCCUGAUGUGUACACUGGAUUGCGACACUGACAGAGGCAUCACACUCCCUGAUUUCAAAGCUAUAGUAAUCAAAACAGCGUGGUACUGGCACAAAAACAGACACAGAUCAAUGGAAGAGAAUCGAGAGCCCAGAAGUAAACCCACACAUUUAUGGACAGCUAAUAUUCAACAAGGGAGCCAAGAACAUACAAUGGAGAAAGGAGAGUCUCUUCAAUAAUGGCGUAGGGGAAACUGGACAGCUACA
Molecule: long non-coding RNA, 4056 nt
Filed under: Equus caballus (horse)
Lineage: Eukaryota; Metazoa; Chordata; Mammalia; Perissodactyla; Equidae
Description: lncRNA (ENSECAG00000052670.1)
Source: RNAcentral